RNAcentral lists this ribosomal RNA (446 nucleotides) under uncultured bacterium. RNAcentral's name for it is "bacterial SSU rRNA". It matches the Rfam family "Bacterial small subunit ribosomal RNA", at positions 29 to 517 of the family's 1533-position model. The record is from RNAcentral.
AACGAACGCUGGCGGCAUGCCUAACACGUGCAAGUCGAACGAGACCUUCGGGUCUAGUGGCGCACGGGUGCGUAACGCGUGGGAACCUGCCUUUAGGUUCGGAAUAACUCAGAGAAAUUUGAGCUAAUACCGGAUAAUGUCUUCGGACCAAAAGAUUUAUCGCCUUUAGAUGGGCCCGCGUUUGGAUUAGCUAGUUGGUGGGGUAAAGGCCUACCAAGGCGACGAUCCAUAGCUGGUCUGAGAGGAUGAUCAGCCACACUGGGACUGAGACACGGCCCAGACUCCUACGGGAGGCAGCAGUGGGGAAUAUUGGACAAUGGGCGAAAGCCUGAUCCAGCAAUGCCGCGUGAGUGAUGAAGGCCUUAGGGUUGUAAAGCUCUUUUACCCGAGAUGAUAAUGACAGUAUCGGGAGAAUAAGACUCCGGCUAACUCCGUGCCAGCAGCCG